UAUUGGGCGUAAAGGGUGCGUAGGCGGCCUGUUAAGUAAGUGGUUAAAUUGUUGGGCUCAACCCAAUCCAGCCACUUAAACUGGCAGGCUAGAGUAUUGGAGAGGCAAGUGGAAUUCCAUGUGUAGCGGUAAAAUGCGUAGAUAUAUGGAGGAACACCAGUGGCGAAGGCGGCUUGCUAGCCAAAGACUGACGCUCAUGCACGAAAGCGUGGGGAGCAAAUAGGAUUAGAUACCCUAGUAGUCCACGCCGUAAACGAUGAAUACUAAGUAUUGGGGAAACUCAGUGCUGCAGCUAACGCAAUAAGUAUUCCGCCUGUGGAGUAUGCACGCAAGUGUGAAACAUAAAGGAAUUGACGGGGGCCCGCACAAGCGGUGGAGUAUGUGGUUUAAUUCGACGCAACGCGAAGAACCUUACCAGGCCUUGACAUCCCUUGCAAAGCUGUAGAGAUACAGUAGAGGUUAUCAAGGAGACAGGUGGUGCAUGGUUGUCGUCAGCUCGUGUCGUGA
Molecule: ribosomal RNA, 507 nt
Filed under: uncultured bacterium
Lineage: Bacteria
Description: bacterial SSU rRNA
Rfam family: Bacterial small subunit ribosomal RNA
Source: RNAcentral